UACGGAGGGUGCGAGCGUUAUCCGGAUUUACUGGGUUUAAAGGGUGUGUAGGCGGAAUAUUAAGUCAGUGGUGAAAUCUUCAGGCUCAACCUGGAAACUGCCAUUGAUACUAUUGUUCUUGAAUACUGUGGAGGUGAGCGGAAUGUGUCAUGUAGCGGUGAAAUGCAUAGAGAUGACACAGAACACCGAUUGCGAAGGCAGCUCACUACGCAGUGAUUGACGCUGAGGCACGAAAGCGUGGGGAUCAAACAGG
RNAcentral lists this ribosomal RNA (253 nucleotides) under uncultured bacterium. RNAcentral's name for it is "partial 16S ribosomal RNA". It matches the Rfam family "Bacterial small subunit ribosomal RNA", at positions 524 to 776 of the family's 1533-position model. The record is from RNAcentral.